This 502-nucleotide ribosomal RNA is filed under the name uncultured Glomeromycotina. RNAcentral's name for it is "partial small subunit ribosomal RNA". It matches the Rfam family "Eukaryotic small subunit ribosomal RNA", at positions 591 to 1092 of the family's 1831-position model. Lineage: Eukaryota; Fungi; Glomeromycota. The record is from RNAcentral.
CCAAUAGCGUAUAUUAAAGUUGUUGCAGUUAAAAAGCUCGUAGUUGAACCUCGGGGUCUACCCAUUGGUCAGGCUUAAUUGUCUGCACUGGUGAGAUGGAUCUCUACCUUCUGAGGAACUUUCAUGCCAUUUAUUUGGUGUGAUGGGAAAUCAGGACUGUUACUUUGAAAAAAUUAGAGUGUUUAAAGCAGACUAUCGUCUGAAUACAUUAGCAUGGAAUAAUGAAAUAGGACGGACUGAUUCUAUUUCGUUGGUUUCUAGGAUCACCGUAAUGAUUAAUAGGGAUAGUUGGGGGCAUUAGUAUUCAAUUGUCAUAGGUGAAAUUCUUGGAUUUAUUGAAGACUAACUACUGCGAAAGCAUUUGCCAAGGAUGUUUUCAUUAAUCAAGAACGAAAGUUAGGGGAUCGAAGACGAUCAGAUACCGUCGUAGUCUUAACCAUAAACUAUGCCGACUAGGGAUCGGACGAAGUUAAUUUUAUAAUGACGCGUUCGGCACCUUACG